UUUGCACUGGUUUGUAGCACCAGGAUUGGGGUCGGGCCUCCUUGAUUA
RNAcentral lists this transfer RNA (48 nucleotides) under Fulvia mutica. Its description in RNAcentral is "partial tRNA-Tyr". The record is from RNAcentral. Lineage: Eukaryota; Metazoa; Mollusca; Bivalvia; Cardiida; Cardiidae.